AUGGCUCAGGAUGAACGCUGGCGGCGUAGCUUAACACAUGCAAGUCGAACGGAGUUUUAACGGAAGUUUCGGAUGGAAGUUUAGAAACUUAGUGGCGGACGGGUGAGUAACGCGUGGGUAACCUGCCUCAUACAGGGGGAUAACAGUUAGAAAUGACUGCUAACACCGCAUAAUAUAGCGAAACCGCAUGAUUUUGCUAUCAAAUAUUUAUAGGUAUGAGAUGGGCCCCGCGUCUGAUUAGCUAGUUGGUGGGGUAAAAGCCUACCAAGGCGACGAUCAGUAGCCGGCUUGAGAGAGUGACCGGCCACAUUGGGACUGAGACACGGGCCCAAACUCCUACGGGAGGCAGCAGUGGGGAAUAUUGGACAAUGGGGGAAACCCUGAUCCAGCGAACCGCCGCGUGAGUGAAGAAGUAUUUCGGUAUGUAAAGCUCUAUCAGCAGGGAAGAUAAUGACAGUACCUGACUAAGAAGCCCCGGCUAACUACGUGCCAGCCGCAGC
Molecule: ribosomal RNA, 500 nt
Filed under: uncultured bacterium
Lineage: Bacteria
Description: bacterial SSU rRNA
Rfam family: Bacterial small subunit ribosomal RNA
Source: RNAcentral